UCUUUCCGCGGCUGUGGCUGACUUACAGUCUGUACCCGCAUUUGCCUGUGUCCCACCCCUUAGCACAGUGACCAAGGAAACCACAGAAACUUGGCCAGGGUACAGUCGGCAAGGGAGCAAGCCUUGGAAAUCGCAGAAAAAUUGCGACUGCCAGGGCUCGAACCUACGCCUGAGCGACUGUUGUACGGACAGAUGGGAAGAGCA
Cotesia glomerata is the source of this 204-nucleotide long non-coding RNA. RefSeq lists it as uncharacterized. The transcript is spliced from 3 exons. Lineage: Eukaryota; Metazoa; Arthropoda; Insecta; Hymenoptera; Braconidae. The record is from RefSeq and is a predicted model, not a curated record.